GACGAACGCUGGCGGCGUGCCUAACACAUGCAAGUCGAACGGGACCAGGGGGCAACUCUGGUUCAGUGGCGGACGGGUGCGUAACACGUGAGGAACAUGACCUUCGGCGGGGGAGUAGCCGGCCCAACGGCCGGGUAAUACCGCGUACGACCAUUUGGGGACAUCCUCGAGUGGUGAAAGCAGCAAUGCGCCGAUGGAGUGCCUCGCGGCCUAUCAGCUAGUUGGUGGGGUAACGGCUCACCAAGGCAACGACGGGUAGCUGGUCUGAGAGGAUGGCCAGCCACAUUGGGACUGAGACACGGCCCAGACUCCUACGGGGAGGCAGCAGGUGGGGAAUAUUGCACAAUGGGCGAAAGCCUGAUGCAGCGACGCCGCGUGAGGG
RNAcentral lists this ribosomal RNA (382 nucleotides) under uncultured bacterium. Its description in RNAcentral is "bacterial SSU rRNA". It matches the Rfam family "Bacterial small subunit ribosomal RNA", at positions 28 to 407 of the family's 1533-position model. The record is from RNAcentral.